Molecule: transfer RNA, 72 nt
Filed under: Capra hircus (goat)
Lineage: Eukaryota; Metazoa; Chordata; Mammalia; Artiodactyla; Bovidae
Also listed under: 1 other name
Rfam family: tRNA
About the family: Transfer RNA (tRNA) molecules are approximately 80 nucleotides in length. Their secondary structure includes four short double-helical elements and three loops (D, anti-codon, and T loops).
Source: Rfam by way of RNAcentral
UCCCUCGUGGCUCAGUGGUAAAAGAAUCUGCCUGCAAUACAGGAGACCCAGGUUCAAUCCCUGGAUUGGGAA